This 301-nucleotide ribosomal RNA is filed under the name uncultured bacterium. RNAcentral's name for it is "partial 16S ribosomal RNA". It matches the Rfam family "Bacterial small subunit ribosomal RNA", at positions 509 to 807 of the family's 1533-position model. The record is from RNAcentral.
CAGUAGCCGCGGGAAUACGUAGGGUGCAAGCGUUAAUCGGAAUUACUGGGCGUAAAGCGUGCGCAGGCGGUUUUGUAAGACAGAGGUGAAAUCCCCGGGCUCAACCUGGGAACUGCCUUUGUGACUGCAAGGCUAGAGUACGGCAGAGGGGGAUGGAAUUCCGCGUGUAGCAGUGAAAUGCGUAUAUAUGCGGAGGAACACCGAUGGCGAAGGCAAUCCCCUGGGCCUGUACUGACGCUCAUGCACGAAAGCGUGGGGAGCAAACAGGAUUAGAUACCCGAGUAGUCCCUGUCUCUUAUAC